AUCUCUAAGUUAAGAGUAAACUGUUAUGAUUUAAACUUACUCAUAUUAACUUCCACCAUGGGGCUUGCAACCAUCACUUGUGUCUUGAGUAGUUAAAAGAUAGAACAGUCUAGUCAAGCGCCAUGUCUCUUGUUCCUUUAUUAACUAUAGCUCUAGAGUUUUUGCAGAUUUUUCAAAUAAAACUCAGAGAUUCCUUGUAUGACCCUCUCAAAUCUCUCUUUUGUGGUAUUUCUAGAUCCAUUCCAAGGCAGUAAUGGUGUUUGCCUUCUCUCAAAGUAUGUGGCAUUUUUGGUAUGAGGCAUAGUGAUAUUGGCUUCUCUCUCACCCUACUCUAAUAAGGUUUUGAUAUCUGGAGCUCAUAUGUGGGAGACAGCUAAUACAUACAUACAUACAAGACAUUUAUUGCAUAGUCAAACCAUGGAUCUAGAGAAACAAGUCAAUAAGUCAAAUCAAGAUGUGCAUGUGUAGCGAGUGAAUGGUGUAUGGUGAUGAUGGUGAUAAUGGUGAAAACAAUGGUGAAAGUCUAAUUCUACUUUUGCUCUUUUGAGAUGAUACAUACCUUUCUUGCACUUUGAAGCUUUUUGAGGAGAAUGCGAUGCUCUUAUUUUAUUUUUCUUUUCUCUCAGGUGGGUAUCUUGUACCCCUAAUUCUACUGUCGAACACUUGUCCAUUUUUACCUCUCAUCUCACUUUUUCUUUUCUUUGAGGUUCCGGGCACUUGCCCCUUUUUAUUUCCUCAUAUUUUUCAUAUUUUUCUUCUUUUUCUAAAGCACUCACCCUCCUUGAAUAAUAUAGCAAGUGGUAGUAACUAGAAUAUCUCGAGCAUUUAUUUCACUGGGAAAAGCAGGAAUGGGGUAAUGUUUUUGGCUAUUCUCUCCCGGAUAGGAGUAGAAUAAUUUCGGGUGAAUUUGGAGAUGGAAAUGAGUGGAUGUAUGUGGAUGCGUACUUUCGGAGUAGAAGCAGCAUGUAUGAGUGAACGUGCAAGUGAAUCUUGAUUUUAACCACAUGACAAGCUUCUAAGGGUCUACACAGCUUGACCACACUCAAUGCUCAUAAGUAGUAAAAAGUAAAUGUAUGAUUCAUAGUCUAAUAAGCAUAUAUAUACAUGGCCGUGGUAGGAUUUUAAACUCUCAUCAUACAGGAACUCAUCAUGUGUUAUUUUAAAGAUUUUCAAAGAUAAAAUUUACCAGAAUUCUAGCAUCUCUAGGAACAGAUAAACAGCAGCUCAACCUUCCCACAUCAUAUUCGUUAACAACUUAGACUUUAGAUCAAGUACUCUUCCCACAAGUUCAGGUUUAGAGCAAAUCUUAAUUCAUAACAAUCAUGCCUCAGCAUGAGAGAGAUUUCAAUUUUGAGAACUAGUCAUGGUAGAGCAACUAUUCAUCAUUUCUAUGUGAGAGCUUAUCAUCAGGGUUCAUAGCAAACUUCAUUUAUUUAUUAUUUAUUAAACAAAGCAAAGAUAAAUAUAUAAGCACAAAAAUCUUUAUUUGGGUUUUUAUGAUUAUGCAUCUUUUUAUUAUUUGAGUAAAGUAUAAACGCGAGUAGAAACACUUAGCUGGAUAAAUGUGGGUGCUCUCCCCCAAGCUAGAUUUUGACGUAAUUUCUUCUGAUGUAGCUAGCAGGUGGUGGAGGUGUAUUUGAAUGUUGACAGCACCCUGACAGCGAUUAGGAUAUCCUCCGUCUGCUAGUUUUCUUGAUCCUUGAAUUCUGUGGAGCUCAAAUAGACAACAAGGCUUUGUGGAACUAGUUAAGUGUUAGCAUAAAUAUCUAGCCUCCUCAAUAAAUGUUAUUCUCUUUAGUUGGAUCACAAUCUUAUUUUUAUAUUUUCAUUUUUAUAGGAUAGGAAUAUAUUUAUUUUAUUUUUACGCCACCACAGUGAAUGUACUUAUGGGUUUUAUGCCAUGAGCAUACUCACAUGGGGCUUACUAUUUUUAAUAUUUUUAAUUUCUUUUCAAGAUAGCAUGAUUAACUAACAAGCUAUUUAAGGAAAGUAAAUAAUUUAAGGGAAAAGGGAAUGCAGAAAGGAUAAAUAUGGAUAACUAUUGAUUUUACCUUUCGGCGAGGGUUCAAUAUUUUAAAUCUUCUGAACAAGACUUCUUACCGUGUUCAUUCUUUAGGUGCGUCAUUUGAUUUAGGUGUGAACCUUGAUGUCUGCACCUGUUGAUACGGUGUCACCCAUGUUCUUCAUUUGCCCGGCAUUUCGAAGUGUGGCGUUGGCAGCAUCUUGCUCAGUGUGCUUGUGCUCGAGGUACAGGUCCUUUACUUGGUGGAGUCUGGGAGUUGUAAAACUCCUCCAUGUUUUGCUCAAAGUGUACCUGCUCAUAGAGACAAGAUAGAGAUCAAGUGCAUGGGCCCUGUUGGUGGAAAACACCAACAAAACCAAAAGUGUAUUUGUUCUUCUAUAACCUUAAGCAUAGUGAGCAAGACAAAUUUGAUAGAUAAUAAGAUCAUGAGUGUAGUAUUUAAAACAUUUGUCAAAUCAGAUCGCUCAACCUAAUGGAAAGAUAAUCUAUCUAUAUUUAUGUUUUUUUUAUAUAUCUUCCAAAGAUUGAGUGUGCAACAUUUUAGCUCAUAUGAUUAGGAGUGUGGGAUCACAAAGGUGGAAGGACUAAACAUGUUGAAUCGAUUGGGUUGGUUAACCUAGAGUUGUAAAUCAUACAUGUUUGUCUCUUUUAUUCAUAUGUACGCCAGAACCAAGGAGAAGCUUAUAAAAGUGAUAGUCAAGUACCUUAAGAUGUUACCUUACUUGAAGAGUGAUGGUACUGUAUCACCUUGUGGAAGCUUUCCUUUCUUAGCGGUUGUGCAUCGUGUUUGUGGCACCCUCCAUGGAUCAUCUCUUAUAAGCUACGUCUUCCUUGUGUAAGUUGUUAAACUUGAUGUGGCUCUCUCUUUGUCUCCAAUGUGAGUUUAUCUCAGGACUUCAGAGGUUGAUAUUGAAAGUUUUCCUGCAGGGGUUAGUCCAACAAAAUAUCCAAUAUCUACUAUAGCAUACUAUCGGCUCAAAAAUCAACCUAGACACCAUGUCUAAUUUGAUUUAGGAGGGCAUUUUAACCUAAGCACCAUGCUUAUUUUAAGAGAUAAAUGAAACUACUCCAAACCUAGACAUAUACUAAAGCAAAUAAAGGUAGCAUGAGAGCAUUUAUAGAGAUCUACUCAAGUGGAGAUGAAGUAGUGUGAUUAGUAUUUAACAAAUUGAGCAUGUCUUAAAGGUAGGGACAACCAACGUACCAACAUGGCAAAAGAUGUUUUUAUGUAAAGUACUCCCCCAAGCUUGAAUUUUGCAAAAUUCAAGUUUGGAUUUAAUUCAAUGUUGUAUGAUGAUUGGUUGGACAUACGUUGUGCUUGUCAUUCAUCCAAUCUUCUUGCUCCAAUCCUGGAAAGGUUAGUGACAAGAAUACCCGAAGGAAUUUUACAAUUAUUCUUAUAUGCUCAAUACACAAUGUAAUAUUGUAAAUAAUUAAAAGCUCAUGUUACAAUCUGAUCAGUGCUUAUUUUAGGACACUAAGCUUGUCCUUGGGAAACCAUCAAUUUAUGUCGGCGAAGUGGUUUCCCUUCCAACGCUGACCUAUAUCAAGAUCAACUCAACGAGAUCUGCAAUAUUUAUUAUAGACAUAUGCAUCGAUAACCGCCCUUUUAAAGUUUUUAUAAAUAGAAAGGAAGAGGGGGUUGGAGAUCUCAAAUGUGGUGAUGUUGGAGAGACCAAUAGAUUGGGAAGAUGUUGCAUAUGAGCAUGGAGUAAACGAGGUGGCUAGGAAAUAAAUUCUAUGCUCAUUAAUCUUAUCUUCGUCUCCAAUCUGAAUGUUCAGAGUUUCUCCUAGAUUGGUCUCACCUAUGUCCUCUUCUGUAGUUGGAUGAAUCUCAUCUUCAAAGGGAGUCAAGAACUCACCAUUUGAAAUUGAGCCAAAGUCAGAAUCCAUUAAGGCUUCUUCCUUAUCCAUCCAUUCUACACAUUCUAGCCAUUUAGAACUUGUGAUCAGGAAAGGGGAGCUAAUAGAAUAUUCUAUAUGGCUUAGCUCUCCUUCUGUGGCAUUACUUGACAUGCCAUCCUUAUGGUCUUCAUGACUCCUAUGGUUUGGUCGUCUUGGUGAAUUGCUUGGAUCCUCAUGAGAAUGGAAAGGAGAGGAAUAAGAGGGAUCUCUAAGGUCAAGGGAUGGCAUUUUACGAAUUUUUGCUGGAAACCAUUGCGCACACGCGGCGCAAGCCCACGAACUAAAGAAAAUUCCCUUUCCCUUAAUUAUUUAAGCUUUUUAAGGCUUACUUCCCUUUUCGACCUUUGAAUAUUUUGUCAUCCUUGACUUCUUCAUAACAGGAACCAGGUCAUUCUCUAAGAGAACCAUUAUUGCAAGGAUUUGAAUUAUCCAUGCUUGAAGGUCUCUUAUGGAACCAGAAGUCUAAACCAUCAGCAUCGGAAAGAUUUAAGGUCGGAAUUCCAUCCUCCCUUGGAGAAUUUUGGGGUAUUGAUGGUUUAGGAUCGAUAGCUAAAGUUUGGGAUUAAAGUGGUUGUGAUCUGGCUAUUGAAACUUCUUCUUGUUGUCUAGGAACUGGUUCUUUCUCUUUCUUAGGGAUAUAAAUGCUAGGAAACUUUCCAGUCAAUGAAUCAAUUAAAUCCCUAGCUUCACUAGCCGGUAGGUGAUAGAAGAAUCCUCUAGAGGCUGUAUUCAAGGUUUGCUUAUUUUCCCUACUAAGGCCCUCAAAAAAGUGAAUUAGAAAAACUUCUUCUGGAAUAGAAAGCUUUGGGCCAGUGAGAGUAAGGUUAAUAAAGUGGUCCCAUGAUUUGCCAUGAGAUUCUUCUUCUAGUUGUCUAAAAGAAAUAAUCUCACGCCAAACUUCCGCCACUUUGGAGAUUGGAAAAUAUUUAAAAAUAAAACUAUUAUAUAACUUCUUCCAAUCUCCAUGAACACUCCCUACUUUGAGUUUGUACCGAUGUCUAGCUUUUCCUGUUAAAGAGAACGGAAAGAGCUUCCAUUUAAGGGUUUCAUCAGACAUGCCUUCUACAUGCAGGAGGUCACAGACUCGAUAAAACUCUCUUAGGUGUGUGUAUCGGUUUUCCUCACCUUCUCCUGAGAAAGGUUGUUUUUGAACAAAUUCUAUGUAUUCGAGGUCUAUCUCAAAACUAGAUGCUAUGAUAAGCUUUGAAGAUUUUGGUGGUUCGAGAUGUGUGCCCGUAGGUCUAUGAAAUUCAUAGAUAGACAUGUUUGAAUUCAUGAUAGACCAGAGAUCAAGGAUUAGAUAAGAAGAAAGAAUAGCAGAGAUAAGGCAGAAGAUAAAAGGAAAAGUAUAUUUGUUUUUUAUUUUUUAAAAAAUGAUUAAGCUAGUUCAUAGACAACUCAGCAACCGUUUCCUCGGCAAUGGUGCCAAAAAGCUUGUUGACACUUGCUAACACCACUUGGAUACUAGGUUGUCAUCCCCAGCAUGGCACUAGAGUGUACUAUGGUAUUUAUACGCACACAGAUAAAUCCGCAAGUGCACGGAUACCGUUGUAGCUUUUACCCGGUUAAAGGUUUUAUCGUAUCCACAGGGAAACGAGAGAACUGAUCUACGCUCUAACUUAACCUAGAUAGAUAGGUAGGUGUAAAUAGGAAAGAUGGUAGAGUUGAAUAAGAACAAUAUUAAAGGUAAGAUAACAAUGGGUGAUAAUAUGGGAAUAGAGAGUAGAGCAAUCUAGUAUAUGGGCGAUGGUAGGAGAAUAGAGAGGAUAACUAUGGUUUCUCUACUUCAAAGGGUUAUGUCUAUGUCUGGGACGAACCACGUGAUAAGAAUACACCACAAAGGAUGCUUAUCCAUAGGCCGAUAAACCCUACCAGUCCUGCUAACGGGAGGUGGACUACAGAGGACCAACGUAGCUGUCACAUACGCGGCCUACCACACGAUCCGUCUAGAUAGGGGAUAUCCACAAGUAAUCUAGGUCUAAGCACCACGUUUACACCUAUACUACAACUCUAACCUAUAGGGUCCUAUAGAUUAAAAGUACUCAAAAGAGUUGUGAACCAGAACAUACAUGAAUAGUAAUUGCAUAAUGAAAUAGAAGUAGAUUACCAGAGUCAUCCCAUGAGCAAGCUUGAUUAGAGCUUGAUCAAGGUGAAGUACAACUGGAGGAAGAACCGACAGGCCGGCCUCUCCUCCAAUCCUCCCUCGCUCUCCAUCUCGCUACUAUCUAGAUCUACCCUAGUUCAGAGAUGAGAGGAGAGCUCUCAUCUCCAAACCCUAGCUUUUGCUCUGUCUAUGAAUAAUGAAUAAGGAUGAAGGGGUUGUCUCCUCCAGGGGCCAGGGGGUCUGCUUAUAUAGUCCCCUCAAGUGAAUCUGGGCCGUCGGAUCAAACCGACCUUAAUCGUACGGUUUUCCUUGAUCCUUUAGGUCGGCGGAGCAUGAUCCGUGAGAUUGAUCGUGAUUGACUCCUAUAGCUGGGUGGGCGCCCAAGGGGGUGUUGACGGUUCUUAAGUAUCAAUUUUAAUUAUCAAAUAAACAAAAGAAAAGACCAAUAUGCAACCAACACCUAGAAUUAGGGUUUGAUCUGACAGAAUUCCACGAGUUUUGUUGUUUAUCUAUUUCUGCAGGGGGUUAUCAGGAAAUAAGGAAGAAAGGCCCACAUGUCGGGAUUACAUAGAGAUAUCAACGCACCGCAUGAUUUUCUACCAUCUAGAAGACUCCAGAAGCCACGGGAAGAAGACGGAGGCCGAAAGGGGCCAGGCCCAGGGCGCCCGCCCUGGUGACCUGGGCGCCCGCCCCCUGCUGGAUGCCAAUCAGGACUCUUCGCACGGGAUAUUCCACCGACCUAUUGGAUCAAGGAAAACAUAGUACCACCUCGCCUACCGACCCAAAAACGCAUAGAAGGGAAGGACUAUAUAAGGAGACUCCCCUGGCCCCUGGAGAAGACAUGAAGAAAUUAUCAUAGAGACUGAGGGGUGCCCUCGAAGGAAAACCUCUUCUCUAAUUAAUAUUUCUUUUUAGGCUUAGCAACCAAUGUAAGGUAGAAAUAGAUCUUCUAGUUUCUACUAGAUUGAGAGAGAUAGAGUGGAGGUGUAGAUUGGAGGAAGCCCGGCCUGUCGGUGUCUACUCCAAGCUUGUACCUGCGGGAUCAAGUUCUCCUAACCCGAAGCUUGCUCCUAGGAUUCUUCAGUAUUUCGACUUCUAAAUUCUAGUAAGUUCUUGUUUUAUUGUUCUUAUGGUUUAUGAGUUUACUUUAAUCUCUUCGCGUAGAGUUUAGAGUAAUCAUUGCUGGCGUAAACGUGGUGUUAAGGCUGGGGUACUCAUAGAUAUUCCCUGACUUGCUGGACCGUGGUAGUAGUGAGGAACGUGACAAUUCCGAGUUACCUUUGCAGAUCACAUCUCGUUAGCAGGAAGGAUAGGGUUUAUAGGUGCGGGUUGAACAUCCUUUGUGGUGUCUAGAUUCCGUUAGCCUCCCCAUUAGAACAGUAGAUCAUCCUUACCAAGGUUAGAAGGAGACUACGGUUGCAGUCUUCUCUAUUUAUCACUCACAUCGAAAGACAUUAUUUGUGCCUAAAGGUUAGUAGUAAUAGACCGGUUAGUCAGAUGCACUCUUUCUCCUAGUGGUAAAAAAAUAAAUACGAUACUCUGGAUAAUUUCCCGGGUGAAGUGCUCACCGAUAUCCGUGCGCUUGCGGAUCAAUUCCUUAUUGCGUUCCCAAAUAUCAACAAGCAUUUCUGGCGCCGUUGCCGGGGAGAAAGACGGUUGCUGAGAUAACCUGAGUCUUACUAUUAGCUUGUAUCUAUACUUUUAUCUUUUCUUAUCUUUUAUAUUCUUUAUUUUCUUUAUUCUUACCUUAUGGAAAACCAAAAUUCUAAAUCGAUCCAUGAGUCUGCAAUCCCUUCAGCAACUGACCUUUUACCAUGGGAAUCAUCACAGCCUAUCCAAACAUCCCAGUAUAAGUUAAGUUCUAGGUUGAUUGCCAUGAUUCAAAAUCUAUCUUUUUCGGGAAAGGAAGACGAAAACCCUUACCUUCAUAUUAGAGAUUUUAAGCAAACAUGUGAUUGUCUUCGCAUUGAAGGCAUUUCUGAUAAAGCUUUACGUUGGAAGCUUUUUCCUUUUUCUUUAAGGGGAGAAGCUAGACAAUGGUACAGUCAGAAGGUAAGUCAACAACAAGGUGAAUGGGGAGUUUUACGAGCCAACUUUUGUCUGAAUUUCUAUUCCCUUGACCGUAUAGCCAACCUUAGACUUGAAGUCCUAUCUUUUAAACAAAAAGAUAAUGAAACUUUGGGAAAAUCCUGGAAACGUUUUUCUGAUCUUUUAGAAUCUGGUCCAAACCUUAAUCUUGAAGACCCUGUUCUUUUAUUUCACUUUUUUCGAGGUCUUCAGAAAAAUCACAAACAAAUGCUUCACACAGUGUCUAGAGGUUCUUUCUUUCGCAUCCCUGCUGAUGACGCUAGAGUGAUCCUAGAUAGAAUCCUAGAAGCUGAGAUGGAUAAUACCCUUCAUGAUGAAACCCACGAAGCCGAAGUAGACACUCUGCCAAAUUCUUCAUCUACUUUAGCUAUCCCAAGUUCUGAGCCACAAGAGGAAGAAAUUCGACCACCGGACUUCAUGCUGGAUAUAGAAUCCGAUCUUUUUGCCGAUUUUGGAAAUAUUUCAAACUACCAUUCUAUUGACAAACCCCAAAACGGCCAGUUUAGCCUUUAUUUGCCAAGUGAACAUCAAUUGAGAGAGCUUAUCUCAGUCAUGAGUAGCGAAUGGUUGGAGGAAUCAGAGCUUUCCUCUAAUGUGAUCCGUUUGGACACACCCUAUAUAACUAUACGCUGUGCUUAUAAUUCUGAUCGAUUUAAUGCUCUUUAUAAUCCUGUUGUGGGGAUCAACAUCAUGUCUGAAUCUUUUGCACUUAAACUAUUUAAAAAUCUUGUCUUAACCCCCACAACAAAGGUCAUAAAGGAAUCUUCAGGACGAUUAGUCCCUAGUCUUGAAAUUAUUAAUGUCCUACCUCUUACGGUAGAAGGCUCCAUGGUUCAUUUGAACUUCUAUAUCUUUGAUACAUGGGACUUCGACCUGUUGAUAGGAUAACCUUUUAGAAGACUCCUUUAUGAAGGUCAUACUGGAAAGCUACACAUUUCUUUUGAAAAAACUUUUAAAUUCCCGAUAACAAUUUCACAUUCCUUAAACAAUAAGGCCGAGUCAUAUCUUUUGCCUGAUCCUAUGGAGGAGGUAAAGGCUGCAUCUCUAGAGCUUUUAGAUGAACCAGACUUAGAAGAUGAAACUCCUUUCUUCACUGAAGAAGAAGACGAACCUUCUGAGCCUGAACCCUUAGAUGAGUUUGCAGAAACACCUAGACCCCCCAUAGAGCUUAAAACUUUACCACCCGGUCUUACCAAUGCUUUCCUAAACAAUAAUCCAGAGUUCCCUGUAAUCAUUAGCGAUAAACUCACUCAGGAUCAAACUCCGCGAUUAAUGACCAUUCUUGAGAAACAUCACUCAGUGUUUGGCUACUCACUUCAAGAUCUUACAGGAAUCAGUCCUAUGAUUUGUACCCAUCGUAUUCCAACAGAUCCUUCUGUUACACCCUCUCGAGAACCCCAACGUAGACUUAACAACACUAUGAGAGAGGUAGUUAAAAAGGAAGUUAUAAAGUUGCUGCAUGCAGGGAUUAUAUAUCCUGUGCUGCACAGUGAGUGGGUAAGCCCAGUGCAAGUUGUGCCUAAAAAGGGAGGCAUGACUGUUAUUAUGAAUGAAAAGAACGAGCUAAUUCCGCAACGCACCGUCACAGGAUGGCGGAUGUGCAUAGACUAUAGAAAACUAAACAAAGCCACGAGAAAGGAUCACUUUCCUUUGCCUUUCAUAGAUGAGAUGCUAGAGCGGUUAGCAAACCAUUCGUUCUUCUGUUUCUUAGAUGGAUAUUCAGGGUAUCACCAAAUCCCGACCCAUCCCGAUGAUCAAAGCAAAACCACUUUUACAUGCCCAUAUGGAACUUAUGCUUAUCGUAGAAUGUCUUUUGGGUUAUGUAAUGCACCAGCUUCUUUUCAAAGAUGCAUGAUGUCUAUAUUUUCUGAUAUGAUUGAAGAGAUUAUGGAAGUUUUCAUGGAUGAUUUCUCUGUUUAUGGAAAAACUUUUGAUAGUUGUCUUGAAAACUUAGACAAGGUUUUGCAAAGAUGUGAAGAAAAGCACUUAAUCCUUAAUUGGGAAAAAUGUCAUUUUAUGGUUAGGGAAGGAAUAGUGCUGGGACACCUAGUGUCUGAAAGAGGUAUUGAGGUAGACAAAGCUAAAAUUUAAGUAAUUGAACAACUACCUCCACCUAUGAAUAUAAAAGGAAUUCGAAGCUUUCUUGGCCAUGCUGGUUUUUAUCGUAGAUUCAUAAAAGAUUUUUCAUUUAUUGCUAGACCACUUACUCUUUUGCUAGCCAAGGAUGCUCCUUUCGAAUUUGAUGAUGCAUGUCUAACAUCUUUCAAUUUAUUAAAGAAAGCACUCAUCUCUGCACCAAUCAUUCAACCCCCUGAAAUUAUGUGUGAUGCUAGUGAUUAUGCUGUGGGGGCAGUAUUGGGACAAACUAAAAAUAAGAAGCAUCAUGCAAUUGCUUGUGCCAGUAAAACUUUGACAGGAGCUCAACUUAAUUAUGCAACCACUGAAAAAGAGCUUCUGGCUGUUGUCUGUGCCAUUGAUAAAUUUAGAUCUUAUUUAGUUGGAGCUAAAAUAAUUGUUUACACUGAUCAUGCUGCACUAAAAUAUUUGCUCACUAAAAAAGAUGCUAAACCUCGCCUGAUUAGAUGGAUCUUAUUACUCCAAGAAUUUGACUUAGAAAUAAAAGAUAAAAAAGGAGUAGAAAAUUCUGUUGCAGAUCACUUGUCUAGAAUGUAUUUUAAGAGUCCACAGGAAACCCCCAUCAAUGAUUCACUCCGGGACGACAUGCUCUACGGGAUUAACAGGUCUGACCCCUGGUAUGCAGAUAUUGUUAAUUUUAUGGUUUCAGGGUAUGUACCACCAGGAGCAAACGAGAAGAAGCUUAUUCAAGAAAGUCGUUCACAUAUAUGGGAUGAGCCAUACCUCUUCCGAGUAUGCUCUGAUGGCUUACUCAGGAGAUGUGUGACCACUGAGGAAGGAUGGAAGAUCAUCGACAGAUGUCAUUCAUCACCAUAUGGAGGUCACUAUGGAGCAUUCCGUACACAUUCAAAAAUCUGGCAGUGUGGAUUCUACUGUCCUACAAUGUAUGAAGACACGAAGCAAUAUAUCAGAAGAUGUGGGCCAUGUCAAAGGCACGGAAACAUAAAUACAAGGGAUGCAAUGCCACUCACCAAUAACCUUCAGAUUGAGCUCUUUGAUGUCUGGGGAAUAGACUACAUGGGUCCAUUUCCUCCAUCAAAGAAGUGUGAGUACAUCUUGGUGGUAGUUGACUAUGUCUCCAAGUGGGUAGAGGCAUUACCUUGCAAGCAUGCCGACAAUGUCAGUUCAAAGAGGAUGUUUGAAGAAAUUAUAUUUCCAAGAUUUGGAGUUCCCAGAGUAGUGAUAAGUGAUGGAGGAGCACACUUCAUCGACAAACGCUUCAAGCAAUACCUAUCAAGACAUGGAAUCCGUCACAACGUCGCUACCCCCUAUCAUCCUCAGACAAGUGGCCAAGCAGAGACUUCCAACAAACAAAUCAAGAAUAUUCUUUAGAAGACAGUAAAUGAAAUGGGAACGGCGUGGAAAGACAAGUUACCCGAUGCACUCUGGGCAUACCGGACAACAUACAAGACCCCAGUUGGAAUGUCUCCAUACCAAUUGGUGUACGGGAAGACUUGCCACCUACCUGUUGAACUAGAGUUCAAAGCACACUGGGCCAUAAAGAGAUGGAAUAUGGACCUAGAUGUUGCUGGAGAUUAUAGAAGAAUGCAACUAUCAGAAUUGGAAGAAUGGCGAGAGAAGGCAUAUCACAACUCAAAGAUUUACAAAGAAAGAGUCAAAAGGUGGCAUGACAAGAGAAUCAAGAAGAAGGAGUUCACACUCGGAGAUAAGGUAUUACUUUUUAAUUCCAGGGUAAAGCUUUUCGGGCAUGGAAAACUCCGGAGCAAAUGGGAAGGACCAUUCAAGGUAAUUAAUUCAUCAUCCCACGGAGCUAUCACACUUCAAAAUAGCGAAGGUACGUUAUUCAAGGUAAAUGGUCAACGUCUUAAAUUAUUUUUAGAGCCCAAUGAGAAAUUUGAAGAAAUAGACGUAGUCCAUUUUUACCUUCCCAAGGAGAAUUAGAGCCCGACACUUUUAGUCUGAUGUUUUUGGGUCAUAUAUAUAUUUUUCUAAAUAAUUUCGCAUCUAGAAACGCGCUCGAAAAAGUGGGCCCACAGAGGGGCCAGAGAGAGGGCGGGCGCCCAGCUCCUGUUCCCCCUCAGUCCCGACUUUCUCUGUUAUGGAAAAUGCACUUAUGGUAAUUCGAAUAAUCCCUCGGAUGGAAAGUUUCGCACGCACGUCGAUGGGAGAAACCCGAACAACCCAUAGAGGCACUUUUUGACCCCUAUAUAAACAGACCCCUGACCUCAGUUUUCAAACACCAAGCCACCAAGCCUUCUCUCCUUCAAUUAGAGCUUGAUUAGUUCCUUGCUGCUCCUAUGGCCGAGAAGUACCACGAUGAUUGGGAAGUCGUCCCCUUCAACCUCAACAUGGAGCCUGUGGAAGACCCCGAUGCCCGUGCUCUCGUCCCGGCCAACACAGAGCGACAGCUAGAAGCCAUGCCAUUACGCCAGCGCAGCUCUGCCCAAUCCUACCAUGCUCAACCAGUUCUCACCGCACCACCACAACCCCUACUCCUCAAUGGAUCAUCAUCCAAGACGAAGACCACUAUCAAGGUGCCAAUCGGCACAAGGAUCCUUCCACCUAGACCCAAUGAGAGGGUCGUUGGAGUCAAGACCAACCGGAGCAGCGAGAUCAGCAGUGUUCGCUACACUACGGAGGAGGAAAGGCCUUACUUUGAAGGGAUUAGAGCAGCCAAAGUCCUUUUCAUCCCUCCAAAGGCAGCCCCGAAGCACGCUCUCAAUGCUUUUGAGACACCUCCCAAGCGUCGCAAGACUAUAAUGGAUAUUGAUGAGGAAGUUCGCAGGCUAGAUAGAGUUAUCACAGACCUCCAGUCCUCGAUUAAUUCCCUCACUAGGCAGCUCUCUAACUACAAUACCAUUAUACUAGGUCUUAGGCAGGAUCUUGCUAGUGCCAACAAGAAGAUCAAGGAAUUAGAGCACCGCUAAGUUAUCUAGAUUAGACCUUGAGGCAAUACAUCUUAGUCAUUUAUCUUUAAAUUCGGUUUAGGUUUGCUAUUAUCAUCAGUUUACUAUUAUCAUCAGUUUGCUAUCAGUUUGCUACUAGUCUUUUGUAAUAAAUGCCUCAAGAUUAAUAAAGAAUAUUAUUAUUAUUAUGUCUUGUGUGUCUCUACUUUAUUUUUGUUCAAGAAAGCAGAAAACAAGUAUGGGGGAGAUCCCUCGACAUGCCAAACACACUCCGACCACACCACUCCACAAUUCAGGUACACACUCUGCACACUUUACUCUACACAUACAACUAUUUUGGAUUAUGCAGAUUACUAUUUCCGACAUGAUAAAUUAAAAAGAUUAAAAUAUUUCUAAUCAUAAUUAAUCUCAAUCUGUGAUAUUUCCUGAAAACUUGCAAUUAUUAUAAAAUCAUUUCAAAACCCUGUGUUACUUAAGUCAUUGUGGAAUAUGUGAUGGUAGAGUAUGAGUUUCUUAUUCUUGAUAUCAUUGUUGCUUGGAGAAUUUAUUUCAAAAUAUUCAAAAUUCUAGCUACCAUCCUCAGUGUUUUAUAUGCCUGAUAAAACUAAAAAUAUUAAUUAUGAUUACAAAAGCUAUCUACCCUGUAUUGAGUUUGUUCAAAAUGAGUUAGACCCUUGUUGAGAGAUUUAUCAUGCUCCUAAGAUCAAGACAUUAUUUCAGAAAGAUUCACUCUUCCGAAGUAUUAUUGCAUUAGAGGCAUGGGCUAUGCAAAAAUAGAGAUAUUUCGAGGAAAUAAAAAGGAGCAAGUGCUCGACAACCUCGUAGAAAAAAAAUGGACAAGUGUCCGGUAGUAGAAUUAGGGGUACCUCGGUUUCCACUUAAAAAAAAGAAAAAAAGAGAAAAAAGAUGAUAGCCCAUGGUCCCUCUAAUAAGCAAUAUGCCAGCAAGAGUUGACAAAGAUUUUAAUUUCCAAAGUCUUUGAUCUAAGAGUAUGACAUUCCUCUCCUCGGAUCCCGUUUUGAUCAGGCAAUAAAUGCAAAGUAAGUAUGCUUGAGAAUUUUUGCAAAAUUAAAACAGCCUCAGUGAGAUAUAUAACAGAUAAUGAGUGAUCUGAGAGAACCUAUGAGGAUCAAAAGGUAUGCUAACUUUCUUUCAAAAAUAUACAAAAACUCCAAGUGACUGGAUUGAGAAGAAAGGAUCUUUACUCUUAACCAUAAACAUCCCUAACUAUGGUACACAGUGGAAUUUUUAACACCCUGCAAUUAUAAAAAGAAUGUUUUAAAUGUUUACCCCAGAUAUUUUUCUUAACCAUCCUUUUCUCGAGGACGAGUAAAAGCCUAAGUAUGGGGGUAUUUGUUGACGGUUAUUAAGUAUAUAUUUUAAUUAUCAAAUAAACAAGAGAAAGGACCAAUAUGCAACCAACACCUAGAAUUAGGGUUUGAUCUGACAGAAUUCCAUGAGUUUUGUUGUUUAUCUGUUUCUGCAGGGGGUUAUCAGGAAAUAAGGAAGAAAGGCCUACAUGUCGGGAUUAAACAGAGAUAUCAACGCACCGCAUGAUUUUCUACCAUCUAGAAGACUCCAGAAGCCACGGGAAGAAGACGGAGGCCGAAAGGGGCCAGGCCCAGGGCGCCCACCCUGGUGACCUGGGCGCCCGCCCCCUGCUGGAUGCCAAUGAGGACUCUCAUCGCACGGGAUAUUCCACCGACCUAUUGGAUCAAGGAAAACAUAGUACCACCUCGCCUACCGACCCAAAAACGCAUAGAAGGGAAGGACUAUAUAAGGAGACCCCCUGGCCCCUGGAGAAGAAAUGAAGAAAUUAUCAUAGAGACUGAGGGGUGCCCUCGAAGGAAAACCUCUUCUCUAAUUAAUAUUUCUUUUUAGGCUUAGCAACCAAUGUAAGGUAGAAAUAGAUCUUCUAGUUUCUACUAGAUUGAGAGAGAUAGAGUGGAGGUGUAGAUUGGAGGAAGCCCGGCCUGUCGGUGUCUACUCCAAGCUUGUACCUGCAGGAUCAAGUUCUCCUAACCCGAAGCUUGCUCCUCGGAUUCUUCAGUAUUACGACUUCUAAAUUCUAGUAAGUUCUUGUUUUAUUGUUCUUAUGGUUUAUGAGUUUACUUUAAUCUGUUCGCGUAGAGUUUAGAGUAAUCAUUGCUGGCGUAAAUGUGGUGUUUAGGCUGGGGUACUCAUAGAUAUUCCCUGACUAGCUGGACCGUGGUAGUAGUGAGGAACGUGACAAUUCCGAGUUACCUUUGCAGAUCACAUCUCGUUAGCAGGAAGGAUAGGGUUUAUAGGUGCGGGUUGAACAUCCUUUGUGGUGUCUAGAUUCCGUUAGCCUCCCCAUUAGAACAGUAGAUCAUCCUUACCAAGGUUAGAAGGAUACUACGGUUGCAGUCUUCUCUAUUUAUCACUCACAUCGAAAGACAUUCUUUGUGCCUAAAGGUUAGUAGUAAUAGACCGGUUAGUCAGAUGCACUCUUUCUCCUAGUGGUAAAAAAAAUAAAUACGAUACUCUGGAUAAUUUCCCGGGUGAAGUGCUCACCGAUAUCCGUGCGCUUGCGGAUCAAUUCUUUAUUGCGUUCCCAAAUAUCAACAGGGGGAGGGCGAGCGCCCUACCCCUAGGCCCGAUCGGCCUCCCGUUCGUUCCCGUGGCUUCUAGAGUCUUCUAGAUGAUAGAAAAUUGCGCGGCACGUUAAUAUCUCUAUGUAAACCCGACGUGUGGGCCUUUCCUCCGUAUUUCCUGAUAACCCCCUGCAGAAAUAGACAAACAACAAAACUCAUGGAAUUCUGUCAGAUAAAACCCUAAGUCUGGGUGUCGGUUGCUUUUGGAUCCUUUUCUUUAUUUAUUUGAUGGUUAAAUUUGAUACUUAAGGACCGUCAAUAUCAGCAACUAGCACGCCGAUUUAAUCCUAAUAUUCUUCCUGAUAUUAAGGUCGAAAUAACCAAACUUAUUGAAGCUAAGUUUAUUCGGCAAUGUCCGUAUGCCGAAUGGAUUCCCAAAGUUGUCCCUGUCUACAAAAAGAAUGAAAAGCUUCGUGUCUGCAUUGACUUUAGGAAUCUCAAUAAAGCCACACCGAUGGAUGGUUAUCCAAUGCCAGUUGCUGAUCUAUUGGUUGAUGCUGUGGUUGGACAUCGGAUUAUAAGUUUUAUGGAUGGCAAUGCUGGGUACAAUCAAAUAUUCAUGGCUGAAGAGGAUAUUCCUAAGACUGCAUUUAGGUGUCCUGGUCACAUUGGAUUAUUUGAAUGGAUAGUCAUGACUUUUGGCCUGAAAAAUGCUGGUGCUACUUAUCAGAGGGCCAUGAAUUUUAUUUUUCAUGAGUUCAUCGGCAAGUUGGUAGAAAUCUAUAUUGAUGAUGUGGUGCUUAAGUCUGGGAUUUCAUAAAACAUCUAGCCGAUCUACGAAAAGUGUUGGAAUGCACAAGGAAACAUGGUCUAAAGAUGAACCCUAAUAAAUGUGCAUUUGGCAGGGCAGUUUCUGGGUUUCAUGGUGCAUCAGAGAGGAAUUGAGAUUAGUAAGAGAUCCAUUGAUGCCAUCAACAAAGUAGUUGCUCCCACCAAUAAAACUGAACUUCAAUCAUUGAUCGGCAAGAUUAAUUUUAUUAGACGAUUUAUAUUUAAUUUGUCGGGUAAGAUUCGUGCUUUUAGCCCUUCGCUUAAAUUGAAAGCCGAUCAAGAGUUUGUGUGGGGAAAAGUGUAACAAUUAGCUUUGGAUGAAAUCAAGAAUUAUUUGACAAAUUCGCUAGUCCUAGUUCCACCUCUGCAUGGGAAGCCAUUCAGAUUAUAUUUAUCUGCCGAUGAUACAGUCAUCGGUUCAGCUCUCAUUCAAGAAUUUGAAGGGAAGGAGCGUGUAAUUUACUAUCUAAGUAGAAGAUUGGUGGAUGUUGAGACAAGGUAUUCAGCAAUUGAGAAAUUAUGUUUACGCGUGUAUUUUUCUUGUGUCAAAUUGAGACAUUACUUGCUAUCGGCCGAAUGCACUGUUAUAUGCAAAGAUGACGUGGUCCGAUACAUAUUGUCAAUGCCGAUUAUGAGUGGUAGAAUCGGCAAAUGGAUAUUAGCAUUAUCAGAAUUCAACUUACGUUAUGAAUCGGCUAAGGCAGUCAAAGAGUAGAUCAUGGCCGACUUUGUAACUCAGCAUUGUGGUGUAGUGGAUGUUUUGGAAAUUGUUCCUUGGACACUCUUCUUUGAUGGAUCUACAUGUGAUCGGGGGGCAGGUAUUGGUAUAGUGUUGAUUUCUCCUCGAGGGAAGAAAUAUGAGUUUUCUUUACCAAUUGUUGCUACAUCAACAAACAAUAAAGCUGAGUACCAAGCCCUAAUCAAAGGAUUAGAAUUAUUGAAAGAGGUUCAUGCCGAUGCUGUUAAAAUUUUCGAUGAUUCUAUGCUUGUUAUAAAUCAGUUGGCUGGGAUUUAUGAAUGCUGAAGUGAAGUUUUGAUAGCAUAUUAUGAAAAGUGUGUACAAUUAUUGAAGGAUUCAAGGAUUUCCGAUUAGAGCAUAUUCCUCGGUUGCAUAAUGAGGAAGCUAACCGAUUAGCUUAACAUGCUUCGGGAUAUCAACCCAUCCUGGAAAUAUUAUCGGCAGUCAGUGCCGAUGAUUGGAGAAAAGAAAAUAUAGAUUACAUAAAAGAUCCAUCCAGAAAAGUUGAGAGACGUGUUAGGUUUCAGGCUACAAAGUAUGUACUCCUUGAAGAAGAAUUGUAUUAUCGUACAAUAGAUGGAGUCUUGCUUAAAUGUUUAGGUGAUGAUGAAUCCAAGAGCUUGAUGGGUGAAAUUCAUGAAGGAGUAUGUGGAGCACAUCAAUCAGCUUUUAAGAUGAAGUAGAUGAUUAGAAGGAAUGAAUAUUAUUGGCCGACCAUACUUGAGGAUUGUUUCAAGUAUUUCAAAGGAUGUUAGAAGUUUGGCAAUAUUCAAAGGGCACCCGCAUCGGCUAUGAAUCCUAUUAUUAAACCUUGGCCGUUCCGGGGUUGGGCUAUUGAUCUCAUCGGUCAGAUUUAUCCGCCAUCAGGUAAAGGGCAUAAGUUUAUCCUUGUUGCCACUGAUUAUUUCACCAAGUGGGUUGAGGUUAUUCCUUUGAAGAAAGUAGCAUCAGUCAACAUUAUUGAUUUUAUAAAGGAGCAUAUUAUUUACUGAUUUGGUAUUCCUCAAACUAUAACUACCGAUUAGGGUACCAUGUUUACAUUAGGAGAGUUUGAUGAGUUUGCAAUCGGUAUGGAGAUUAAGGUGUUGAAUUCUUCUCCUUAUUAUGCUCAAGCCAAUGGGCAGGCCAAAGCUUCUAACAAAGGAAUUGUUAAGCUCAUUAAGCGGAAGAUUGAAGAAAAUCCGAGGCGAUGGCACACAUUGUUAAAUGAAGCUUUGUGGUCAUAUCGGAUGGCGUGUCAUGGUUCAACCAAAGUAUCACCAUAUUAACUGGUGUAUGGACAUGAUGCGGUACUACCUUGGGAAAUUAAGAUUGGUUCCAGGCAGAUGUUUUCUCAUGAUCAGUUAACUGCCGAUGACUAUGCUACUUUGAUGAAGGAUGAGUUGGAUGAUUUAGCAGGGCAUCGGUUAAAAGCUUUAAUCAGCACAGAGGAGAAUAAAAGGAGAGUGCCUAAAUGGUAUGAUAAAAAGGUAAAGGCCAAAGAGUUUGCUAAUGGGGAUUUGAUGUGGAAACUGAUUCUACCGAUUGAGGCUAAAAACUCAAAAUUUGGAAAAUGGUCUCCUAAUUGGGAGGGUCCUUAUCGGAUAAACCGAACUGCCCCUCGCAAUGCUUAUAUUUUAGAAACUCUUGAAGGAAUUGAAUUUCCCAGAGCAUUGAAUGGAAAAUAUUUAAAGAAAUACUACCCUAGUAUCUGGAUUGACGCAUGAAAGUUUAAGUGCCGAUAACAAUCCUAUCGGCUGGACAAAAUAUCAAGUGUAUCUAGGACCAUGCGGUUGGGUAUUCUUAACGUCAUUACCAAAAGUAGACUUAGUUUUCUAAUUCUGAUAACGGCGCCAAAAAUGCCAAACCUAUCUCCCAUGCCACACCUUCUAGUUCUAAUCCUAGGUAGCUAUGCUAAUCUAGAUAUCUAAUUGAUGUGAUGGCUCUAGGCUUGAUCAGAGGCUUCUUCUCCCUGAUGAAUAAUGAAUUAGGGUUGAGAGGAGCUCUCCUCCAGGGGCCAGGGGGUCUGGUUUUAUAGUCCUUCCAAGUGAAUAUGGGCCGUCAGAUCAAACCGACAUUGAUUGAAUGGUUAUCCUUGAUCCUUUAGGUCGGUGGAGCGCAAUCCCGAAAGAGAGUCCUGAUUGGACUCCAGAGGGGGGCGGGCGCCCUGGGCCAGGCUCCGUUCUGCCUCCGCUUCGUUCCCGUGGCUUCUGGAGUCUUCUAGAUGUAAGAUAAUUGUGCGGUGCAUUAAUAUCUCUAUGUAAUCCCGACGUGUGGGCCUUUCUUCCGUAUUUCCUGAUAACCCCCUGCAGAAAUAGACAAACACUAAAAUUCAUGAAAUUCUAUCAGAUAAAAACCCUAAGUCUGGAUGUUGAUUUUAUUUGGAUCCUUUUCUUUGUUUAUUUGAUAAUUAAAUUUGAUACUUAAGGACCAUCAACAAACUCUCCCAAGCUUACCUCUUGCUCGUCCCUAAGCAAGGAUAAUCUCAGCGAUGGAUCAGAAGUUGUUGCAAUAUCUUUAAAAAUUGACGGUACACAUGCUUUUAAAUAAGGUCUCGUCUCUGAGUUAGAGUAAACUGUCAAGACUUAAAACUUAUUCAUUUUACCUUUCACCAUGGGACUCGUAACCGUUACUUCUGUCUUGAGUAGUUAAAAGAUAGAACAGUCUAAUCAAGUGCCAUGUCUCUUAUUCUUGAUCAGCUAUAGCUCUAGAGUUUUUGCAGAUUUUCAAAUAAAACUCAGAGAUUCCUUGUAUGACUCUCUCAGAUCUCUCUUUUGUGGUAUUUUUGGAUCCUUACCAAGGCAGUGAUGGUAUAUGCCUUCUCUCAAAAUAUAUAGUAUUUGUAGUAUAAAGCAUAGUGACAUUGCUUCUCUCUCAUCCUACUCUAAUAAGGCUUUAAUAUUUGGAGUUCAUCGGUGGGAGAUAAAAUAUACAUACUCACAAGACAUUUAUUGCAUAGUCAAACCAUGGAUCCAAAGUAACAAGUCAAUAAGUCAAAUCAAGAUGUGCAUGUGUGGGGAAAGAAUGGUGUAUGGUGAUGAUGGUGAUAACAAUGGUGAAAGUCUAAUUCUACUUUUGCUCUUUGAGGUGAUAAAUACCUUCCUUGAUUUUUGAAUCUUUUUGGGGAGAAUGAGAUGCUCUUCUUUUUCUUUCCUCUCAGGUGGGUAUUCUGUACCCCUAAUUCUACUGUCGGACAUUUGUCCAUUUUUACCUCUCGUCUCACUUUUCUCUUUUCUUUCGAGGUUCCGGGCACUUGCCCCUUUUUAUUUCCUCCUAUCUUCUCUCUUUUUUUAUAGAGCACUCAUCUCUUGAAAUAAUAUAGCAAGUGGUAGUAACCAAGAUAACUUGAGCAUUUAUUUCACAAGGGAAAAUAAAAAUAUUUUUGGCUAUUCUCUUCCAGAUUAGGAGUAGAAUAUUUUUGGGUGGUUCUAGAGUUGGAAAUGAGUGGAUAUAUGUGGAUGCGUACUUCCAGAGUAGAAGCAUCAUGUGUGAGUGAACGUUCAUGUGAAUCUUGAUUUAACCACAUGACAAGCUCAUAAGGGUCUACACAGCUUGACCACACUCAAUGCUCAUAAGCAGUAAAAAGUAAAUGUGUGGCUCAAAGUCUAGCAAGCAUGUAUAUAUGGCUGUGGU
Molecule: long non-coding RNA, 20860 nt
Filed under: Sorghum bicolor (sorghum)
Lineage: Eukaryota; Viridiplantae; Streptophyta; Magnoliopsida; Poales; Poaceae
Description: long non-coding RNA (SBIC_LNC015967)
Source: RNAcentral